Molecule: long non-coding RNA, 15548 nt
Organism: Callithrix jacchus (white-tufted-ear marmoset)
Lineage: Eukaryota; Metazoa; Chordata; Mammalia; Primates; Cebidae
Source: RefSeq, a predicted model, not a curated record
UUCUGAAAUUUGAAAACGUAUCUUAUUCUACCACUAGAAUAAGGAUUUCUUGAGGGGGCAUUGUGUCUUUUAAGAUUGUGUUUAGCAAAAAGUAGCAGAAAACUUUGCUAAGAGGUUGAAACAAAUAGGGGUUGAAUUAUUUCUUAGAAUAAGAAUUCCAGAGGUAGGUAACUUCUGGGGUUGGUUUGGUGGCUUAAUGUUAACAGGGCAAGUUUCUUUUCUUUUUUUCGAGACAGAAUUUCACUCCUUCACCAAGGCUGGAGUGUAGCGGCAUGAUCGUGGACUGCAACCUCCGCCUCCCAGGUUCAAGAGAUUCUUGUGGCUCAGCCUCCCAAGUAGCUGGGAUUAUAGGUCCUCUCAGUCACUGGAGUGAUGACAGGAUUCAGUGGAACCAUCUGGAUGAGAUGAACUCUGGAGGAUUUGCUCUCAGGAAUGGCGGCAUUGGCUGUUAGUCACAUGCCUCUUCUUGCUUACAUUGUGAUUCUGGGACUAACCACAGACCACAAAUCCAAAACCAUCCUCUUCUCCUGGUGCCUGAAACUUGACAUCACUUCUCCAUUGCCAAACAUAGAGUCUUGGAUCCUACUGAAAGAGACGGGAUUUCAUCAUGUUGGGCAGGCUGGUCUAGCUGACAGUUUCACAGCAAACUAAUGAGAGAUCCUGAGCCAGAACCACCUGGAAAAGGCUUGCCUAUGCCUGUGUUAUGCUCCCAAUAUCUGUACCUGCGUCAGGCUGCCCGGUAUUCCUGUAGCUCUCUCAGAUCUCCCCACUGGAGUCUCCUGUUCACCUAGACCACACCUACAGUGAUGCCCUGAUGAGAAAGGUAUGUCUGUGAUCCUGAGAGUGAGAAAAGGCAAGAGGAAACGCGGGGAAUUCAAAGCUAAAUUUUAGGUGAGACAGAGCAAUGGAGGAAGGUAAUACAAGGAUGGGAAAUAUAUGAAAUGCUAGAAGAAAACCCUCCCUGACCCAGCUGGCUGGGUAGCAGAGGCUGUGAGCUUAAUGGAGGAAAAGAUGGUCAUGUUCUUCCAGUUCAACAGGGAGGGCAGAAAGCCAAAUGGGGAGCUUUUAAAAGAGAAGAUAGAUGGUCUCUAAAUACCACUUGACUCUGUUAAAGAUACUUGGAGAAUAUAGAUUAUACUUAAAAAUAGCAAAGCUGUACAGGUCAGGCUUUAGCUCAGGGGAGAGGAAAGAGAAGGGCAAUGCCAGAGAUCAACAGCCUUGGAAACAAAUGCUUUCCAGGCAGCCGAAAGGCAUGAUCAGAGAAUAAGAAAUGAAGCAGAGAACUGCAAAGGGUAGAAACUCCUAAAAAGAGAACUGGAGGAAAGUGGAGAUGGGCCAGAAACCACAGAGGUCCAGCAAAAGGUCAGGAGAUGGGGGUUGCAGGUGCACAUGAUGGGGGUUUAACAAAAACCAUUCACCUUUAUUUUGAGAUCUUUCCUACCCUUUCAAAUCUCUUUAGAAAUUGCAGAAGAGAUUCCUAUUUCAUGUUUCUUUCUGAAUAUACAUAUUCACUCUCUUUUGCCAAAAUAUCCAAAAUAAGUUUGCAGACAUCACAAGUUACUCCUAAGUACAACCAUGCACGCAUGUCAAGAACAGGGACAGAUUAUGAAACUACAGUUCAUGACUGCACCUGAGAAAAAAUUACUAUCUCGAUUGCAAUAUCAACAGAAUUGAAACUCAUGUUUCUGCAGUUGUUCCUAAGUGGCUGGGGUUUUUCCCACCUCUCAAUCCAGAAAUUAAUCAAGGCUCAUGCAUAGCAUUUGGCAGUUAUGUCUUCUUAGUAUUCCCGGAUUGAGAAGAGACCCAUUACUUUCCUUUGUUUUGCCUUAUUUUAAGGUCACGUUUAUUGAGGUAUAAUAUACACAAUUAAAAAAUAUUUAAGGGCCGGGCGCGGUGGCUCAAGCCUGUAAUCCCAGCACUUUGGGAGGCCGAGGCGGGUGGAUCACGAGGUCAACAGAUCAAGACAAUCUUGGUCAACAUGGUGAAACCCUGUCUCUACUAAAAUUACAAAAAAUUAGCUGGGCAUGGUGGUGUGUGCCUGUAAUCCCAGCUGCUCGGGAGGCUGAGGCAGGAGAAUUGCCUGAACCCAGGAGGCGGAGAUUGUGGUGAGCCGAGAUCGUGCCAUUGCACUCCAGCUUGGGUAACAAGAGCGAAACUCCGUCUAAAAAAAAAAUAUAUAUAUAUUUAAAAGCUUACACUUAAUGUAGAAUUCUGUGAGUUUUGACAAACCCAUACAAUUGUGUUAGUACCACAGCAGGUUAGAAGCCUAGAUGUAGAACAGUUUCAUUACCUUUAUAAAGUCCUCAUGUCUUCCACUGUCAACCCCUCCUCUAAACUCAGUCCCUGAUAACCAUCAAUCAAUUUUCUGUUCCUGUAGUUUUGCCUUUUCCAGAAUAUCAUAUAAAUGGAAUCACACAGCCUCUGGCCUUUUGAAUCUGGGUGAUUUCACUUAGCUUAAUGCAUUUGAGAUUCAUCGACAUUGUUACAUGUAUUAGUCGUUUGUUCCCUUUUAUUGUUGAGUGUUAUUUCACUGCAUGACUGUACUAUGAUUUGCUUAUCUAUUCACUAGUUGAAAGAUCUAUGGUUUGUUUUCAGUUCUAAAUGAUUAAGGGUAAAGCCAUAAGAAACAUGCAGGGUAAGUUUUGAGGUGAGUGUAUGUUUUCAUUUCUCUUGGGUAAAUACCUAAGAGUGGAUUUGAUGCAUGUUAUGGUAAAUGUAUGUUUGCAUUCGCAAGUAAGUGCCAAACUGUUUUCCGAAGUGAUUGUACCAUUUUGCACCCAAACACACAGCCAUUUGCUUUGUUCACUCUGCAGAGACUCUAAGUAGUUGUUAUCUGUGUGAGAGUUGAUCUAUCGGUUUACUCCAUCAUGUCAGAAGGGGAACACUGCUUUAUCUUAAUCAAUAUAAUUAUACAAUCCUGAAAGCUAGUCUAAAAGUGUGAUGCUACUGAUAUUUUAAAGUCUCAGAGCUGGAGAUUUUUGAAGGGACCUAGUGUAACUUUCCUAUUUACUCAUGACCAAAUGGAGACCCCUUGAUAUUAAAUUCAUUUAUCGAUUCAUUUAAUGAAGACUUUUUAAGCACUUACUAUGUGCCAUAGUCUGUGCUGGGUACUGGGACAGUAGAGACGGCUUGCCCCUUGGCCUCCAGCCCUUGUAUGAGCGGGCUUGGGUUCAGUCUUCCACCUUCUAGCUCAUUGCUUUUUCAGCUACCGCUGGGGAGAAUGAGUGAGAGUGAAGGGGAGAAGAAGCCUUCACAGCCUAGGCUGUGGGCAUGAAAAUGACCAAAUUUUGGCAGCCUGAACCAGACACAGAGUUACAGUAGCCUUAAAUUUUCAUAAACUUUUUCUGCUGGGAUCCUGGGGAACUGAGCCAUGUGUAUAGAAAAGCUUCUCUAGGAUCAUUGUUGUUAGAGUGAAAGUGUGAGAUGUAUCCCUCAACUACAUCAAUGUUCAUCUUAGGGAGAGCCUGUUGCAGAUACCCGUUGAAGAAUGGCAGGCUUGAGGGUGCUAGAGUUAGUGCAUUGGGCAGCCAAAAAAUUGCCUGGCUAUCCAUGUUUCUUUCUUGGGCCUUGCCUAAAGAGUAACUGCCAGGUUUCCUCUCCUAGCCCUGUGAGUUAGUUCAUGCAGCCGUGAGCUACUACUACUUACUGCCACGUGGCUGGCUGUGGCUCUCUGCAGGCAAUAAAUCAACCCGCCUGGAUGUGGGAGUGGUUGACUUGGUUGCAUUUGAUUUCUUUCUGUAGGGAGACUUAGGAAUUGGCUCUGUGAAAAAUGGAGAGGAGAGGGUGGAGACAGGAGAGUUUAAACCUCUUUGUUGGGCCUUUUCAGUUAUUCAUGGAAAAUCUAUAUACUCUGUUAUCAGCUCUAAGCAAAGCAACUUUGUUGUUUCUAUUGAUCAUGCAAUUUAUUAUCUUUAUUUAAACUCUUCAGGCAAUAAAUAAAUAAAAAGCAGUUUGAGGGAAAGAAGCUUCUCAGGAGAAAGUAAUUUUCCAGGAAAGUAGUUUAAUCCUUUUAAAAUUAGGUAUACCAACUUAAAGAUAGUAUCUGAUUAUUCUAUUUGAUUCCCCUUUAAAGAUGAUACUGGUCUCGUUUUCUCCUUUAGUUGAAAUCUUUUCAAGUUUCACUUCUAUUCUCACCAAACCCUGCAUUGCACUCAUACGUUAAUCUUCAAAGAAAACAUAGUAAAAUAUAUUACAACUAUAAAUAAGUCAGUUUCACAGUCUUAUUUCUCUGUCACUUGCUGGUAAAUACAAUUGACUAAAUCUUUAAAUCUGUCAUUGGUAAAACUGGGACGCUAUUUGCAUUGUCUACUCUGUGGUCGGAUAUGAAGAUCAUACAAGAUGACAAUGCUGAUGAAAACACUUUUGUAUAGUGAUUCACUGUUCAUUACAUUAUUUAACAUUUAUCUUUCGUCUAGAUCCUCUGAUACCAAAUCCAGCAUUCUUUACAGCAUAGCAUAUGUAGUAUGAUAAAAUUAGAGAGUCGAAUGAGACAACCUCUAAGUUCCUUUUUUUGAUUUAAAAUUCUGUGAUUUUACUGCAGCUUUUCAUAGAGAGUUGUUUGAAAGCUGGGAACUCAAUAAUUUCUCUUGGGAUUCCCCUUGAAUCUGGGGAAAAUGGCCACUUAUUGGGCAACUGAAUAUUUUACCACCUUCAUGGAUUCUCAGCCUCCCUCUGCAGGUCUGCUCGGCUGCCUCCAGGUCCUUGAGUGCCUGUGUGUGUGGCAGGGUGCUGUGCUCUUCCUCCUGCACCUCCUCAUUCCGUCCCUCUGCUGUGUGUUGCAUUCCCGCUCCGCACCUGCUGCCAUGUCGACGUUCUUCACGUUCGUUCGUCUGUGCCUCCCUAUGUUGCUGUUUCUAUUCUUACAUUUACUCUUUCCUUUGCCCUUACUAGAUAAGUGCUCCCAAGUUUUCUUCAUCAGUGAGAUAUUCUCGAUUUCUGAGUUGAAUCCCUUUUUAUUUAAAAAAAAGACAAAAAUAUGUUCUUUCCUUAAUACCAACAUUGGUUUGCUCCCCUAAGGUAAUUCACAGGAACUUUAAUAGGUUUCUGUAUGGGCACAAGAAGGGCAACAGGUGAUGGUCUAGUUUUUUUCGGGGGGAUGUAUGUGUAGUUAUAACUAUGUCAUUUACCCAUAGGAAUACAACAUGAUACCCCCCAAUAUAUGUUUAUGCUUAAUAGCCUCCAAAAAGCUUCUGUAUUUUUAAUAUUAUUAUUUUUAAUUUUCUUAACUUAAAAAUUGUUUGCCAUAAAAUUCACAUUCAUAUAAAGUCUCUGUGUUUUUAUCUUUCUUUUUCAACUGCUUUCCUUGUUCCAGGAUACUAUAGUUGCUUUUUUUUUUUUUUUUUUGAGAGAAGGAAAGAAAAAAAAUGAGUAAAGGAGAGGAAGAAAGAGGAAGAGAAAGAGGGAGGGUGAACGGAAAUAUUGCUUUAUUCUGAAAAAAAAAAUGGGUAUUAAUAAUGGCCAAUCAAUGUUUCAUUUAAACCUAUGAGUAGGUGUGAUGUGGUAUUGACAAGAAUGUAUAUUUUGUGUAUUUGAAGUGGAGAGCUCUAUAAAUAUUUAUUAAGUUUACUUGUUCCGGAUCUGAGUUCGAGUCCUUGAUAUCCUUAUUAAUUUUCUGUCCCAUUGAAUCUAAGUCUCCAUGUAUCUGGGUGUUAGGAUCGUUAGCUCUUGUUGCAUUGAUCCUUUUACCACUAUAUAUUUGUUACUUUAAAAUCUAUUUUAUCUGAUACGAGAAUUGCAACUCCUGCUUUUUAUUUAUUUAUUUAUUUAUUUAUUUUUGCUCUCCAUUUGGUUGGUAAAUCUUUCUCCAUCCCUUUGUUUUGAAUCUUUGUGUAUCCUUGCAUGUGAAACAGGUCUGGAUGUAACAUGCCAUUGGGUUUUGGCUGUGUCUUUUGAUUGGGGGAUUUAGUCGAUUUAAAUUUAGGGUUACUGCCAUUUGAUGUUAACUGGCUGUUUUAUCCAUUCAUUGAUGUAAAUUCUUCUUUAUGUUGGUGCUUUUUACUUUUUGAUAUAUAUUUUUAGAACGGCUAAUACUGGUUGUUUCUUUCUGUGUGUAAUGCUUCUUUCAGAAGCUCUUGUAAAGCAGGCCCGGUGGUAAUAAAAUCUCUGAGUACUUGCUUGUUCAUAAAAGAUUUUAUUUUUCCUUCAGUUGUGAAGCUUAGUUUGGCUGGAUAUGAAAUUCUGGGCUGAAGGUUCUGUUCUUUGAGGAUGUUGAAUAUUGGCCCCCACUCUCUUCUGGCUUGUAGGGUUUCUGCUGAGAGAUCUGCUGUAAGUCUGAUAGGCUUGCCUUUGUGGGUAACCUGACCUUUCUCUCUGGCUGCCCUUAGUAUUUUCUCCUUCCUUUCAACCCUGGUGAAUCUAAUGAUUAUGUGCCUUGGGGUUGCUCUUCUUGAGGAAUAUCUUUGUGGUGUUCUCUGUAUUACCUGGGGUUGAAUAUUGACCUGCUUUGCUAGUUUAGGAAAAUUUUCCUGAAUAAUAUCCUGAAGGGUAUUUUCCAGCUUGGAUUAAUUCUCUCCGUCACAUUCAGGUGCACCUAUCAAACGUAAAUUAGGUCUUUUCACAUAGUCCCACAUUUCUUGGAGACUUUGCUCAUUCCUUUUUAUCCUAUUUUCUCUAAUCUUGUCUUCUUGUUUUAUUUCAUUAAGUUGGACUUUGACCUCUGAUAUCCUUUCUUCUGCUUGAACAAUUCGAGUGUUUAAACCUGUGCAUACUUCUCGGAGUUCUUGUAUUGUAUUCUUCAGUUCCAUUAAUUCACUCAUACUCCUCUCUAAGUUGUCUAUUCUCAAUAGGAUUUCAUCAAACCUUUUUUCAGAGUUCUUUGUUUCUUUACGUUGGGCUACAACAUGUUCUUUUAACUCACAGAAGUUUCUUAUUAUCCAUUCCCUGAAGCAUGAUUCUGUUAUUGGGAUGCGCUCGUUCUCCAUCAAGCCUUGUUCCAUUGUUGAUGUGGAACUGAGAUAAUCUUUAGAGGGAGAGGCAUUCUGAUUUUGAGUAUUCUCAGUCUUUUUACGCUGGUUUCUUCCCAUUAUUGUAAAUUUAUCCUCCUGUUGUCUUUGAAAUUACCAACUUUCAGAUUAGGUCUCUUGAGUGGACUUCCAAGUUGUUAGUUCCCAUGGCCAGAACAGCGGCAUUAAGACUGAUGGUGCUUUUCUGCCCAGGAUUCUCCUGUCUGGCUUCCUUCUUGUGUCUGUAAUAGGCGACUCUGCCUUCCCGGGGCUCCAAACCUCGGUCAGAAGGGGAGCCAGUCCUGUUUACUCUGCGCCGAGAGCUGCCGUGCCGAGGUGUUGUCACAGCCGCUGUGCCAGCCUCAGGAGUCGUGCUGGGGACCCGUGUGGGUCCUCCAAACCUCGGUUGGAAGGAGAGCCAGCCCUGUUUACUCUGCGCCGAGAGCUGCCGCGCUGAGGUGCUCACAGCUGCCGCACUGGUCUCAGGAGUCGUGCUGGGGACCCGUGUGGGUCCUCCAAACCUCGGUCGGAAGGGGAGCCAGACCUGUUUACUCUGCUCCGAGAGCUGCUGCACUGAGGUGCCGGUGAAACCACUGCGCCGGCCACAAGAGUCGUGCUGGGGACCCGUAUGACUCCUCCACUGGGGUUCUUCUGCUCCGUGAGCGACCAGAAUUUGUCUGAAAGUGUGGCAGUCUUCUAGUUCUCUGCGCUUCCACUGAGAGCUGCAAUCCCGAGAUGUUAGUGAUCGGCCAUCUUGGAUCGUUCCCCCCCUGUAGUUGCUUUUUAAUUUAAAUGUAUCUUAAACCAAGAUUCCAUGAAGCUUAAUCAUAAGGGACAGUGCUAGCCACAGGAAGGCAUGGCACACUUGCAUGCAAAGGCAGCAUGGUGCAGUAGAAAAAUCAUAGGCUUUGUAGCUGGCAGAUAGAUGUGAAUCUUGGCUCUGCAACUUACUAAAUUUGUUAGCCUAGAAAAGUUAUAUUUAGCCUCUUUGUGCUUUAACGUCCUUAUCUCUAAAAUUGGGUGAUAAUAAUAAUAACAAUCUCAUUGAUCUGAUGUGAUAGCUAAGAAACUUUGCCCAUGAGUCAUCGCUACUAACCUAAUUCAUGGAGAAGGAGAAUUGGUUGCCAUAGGAUCAAUUAGACCUGAAUAAGUAUAUAGUGAACAAGGACAAAAGAAAGGAAAGGAGUGGGAAAAUGAGGAACAGAAGAAGGCAGUAAAGAAACUUGAGCCUUACAGAAUAUAGCCAUGAUGGAAAGACACUGAAGACAGCCCAGGAAGGACAGAUUAUGGUGGUUUUACACUCCGAGACCUGGGCCAGUUCUUGGAAGGGAACUUUGAAAGAGGGAAAAGGGAGAGGCAAGCUGAAAGAUUGGAUCAAAGUGGAGCAAAGGGAGGCCAAAAAGAGGAAAAGAGGGAAAGAACAAUGAAAACAAAUGAGCAGAGAGGAAAGAGGAGCUAAGAAAUUCUCGGUGGCUCUUUGGGUCCAGAAGAGGGAGCUGGAGGCAGAAAGUGAGAUAUUUGUUGAAAUGGAAAAGUCGUUUUAUAGUUUUUCAGGAGGAGGCUGUACUGAACCCAUGAAAUAGAAAUGCAUGAGUCGAUAUUAAUGAAUUAAGGAAUUUGGGGUGAGCUUUAAUUUAGCAGAGAAGCAGUUUAUUUAUAGAAUUUCUCACAAGAAAGAUUAACCACUGAGGGAACACUGAAAAUGUUACUUGGGCUAAUGACCUAAAUAACCCAUUCAUUCUGUUUAAGAAUAGGGGGCAGAAGAAGGAGAUGUGACUUGAUUACUGUUCUAUGAAUGGAGAGAUUAAAUUUAGCAUUCUUUCUAAGAAGUGUAAAAGAGGACUCUGGGAGUGAACAGAUGAGGUUAAUCACCUGCCAAGUACCUUUCGUUUAUGCAUAGCACAAGGUUUUAACCAGUGCAGGGGAUAACCAAAAACACUUUACCUGCAUAGAUUAUGUGAUUUUCUGUACAUGAUAUAGCUGGAGGCAACUCUUCUGUAAAGUGAACAAGAAUGGCUGCUUAGGGCCACUGAGGGAUAAAGGACUCUGGUUAUCACCAUGAAUGAACUAAAGUGGGAUUGCAAGAUGCUCAACUGCUGUAUGUACAUAGGCUCCUGCCUGAGUCACAGAGCGCAUAGAGUACAAAAGAAAGUUUCUUUAAAGCAGAAAGUAGAGGGCCGGGCGUGGUGGCUCAAGCCUGUAAUCCCAGCACUUUGGGAGGCCGAGACGGGUGGAUCACGAGGUCGAGAGAUCGAGACCAUCCUGGUCAACAUGGUGAAACCCCGUCUCUACUAAAAAUACAAAAAAUUAGCUGGGCACGGUGGUGCAUGCCUGUAAUCCCAGCUACUUGGGAGGCUGAGAGGCAAGAGAAUUGCCUGAACCCAGGAGGUGGAGGUUGCGGUGAGCCGAGAUCGCGCCAUUGCACUCCAGCCUGGGUAACAAGAGUGAAACUCCGUCUCAAAAAAACAAAAACAAAAACAAAAAACAGAAAGUAGAAAAUCAGUGAAUCACAUCCACUGGUUUGUGAAAAGCCCAUUCUUCUCUUAUUAAGUACAAGAACUUUUAGGUAUUUCUUUAGCCCAGCAGGAACAUAAAACUAGAAAAUCUGAGUAGAUUACCCAGAGUCUCCAUUUUAUCUUUUUAUUUCUAUCUUGGCCCAAGCCCCUGAAUUUCUGUCAGUUAUAGUCAGGGCCCUCUACUGAAAGAAGCGCUAUGAAAACUUGAACACACAUGAGAGCCGGCUUUCCACCCAGGCAAGCAGCAGGAACCGAGGCUCCUCCUUCCCCUUUCAUGAGGAAUUUCUUCUCUAAGGCCCUCUGUUGAUCUCUCUUGAGAGAUGACAUUGGUCUGGGUCACCUUAGGCCAUCAGUCAUAUUCUAAUAAUUUGAACCUUAAAAUGAAGGGGUUCUGGUUUCUACUUCCUUUCCUUGUGUACUGUAUGAACUUCAGAUGCAGAAGAUGUAUGGGCACGGGGCUUUGCCUAACUACACUCACAACUCUUGGCCAAUUAACUAAGGAUGGUACUAAAGAGAAUCAAAACCCCAUUCAAUUACAUAUGGACUUCAAAUUCCAGAAUGAGUGCAAGAUGAGGGAAAUGAGGUAGUAUUUAAAACAGAAUCUCAAAUAAGAGCCAACCAAUACUGCCCCAGCUCUUGCCCCCAGUUCUAAAUUCUUCUCUUGCACAUCGAAAGGGAGAAAGAAGAGGAGCACGUGAGAGUGGCUUGAAGGACUCUGCCCUUCCUCACACAUCUGGGCAAAACUCAUCAUAAUAAGGGAAAUCAGUUGACAUCAAAAUCCAUCAAAGAGAAAAUGCAGCAAUUCUUGCUAGAUUCAAUUUUCAAUUUUCAUACAGGAAUUAAAGCUAAUUUAUUUGUAAUAGUCAAAAUUUGGAAAUAAUCCAAAUGUCCUACAUUGAGUAAAUGGCCAAACAAACUGUGCCAAGGGCCCACCAUGGAACACCCACUAGCAAUAAAAAGGAGCAAUUCAUAAAGAUACCAACGUAGGGGAUCUUUGUGGUGAUGGAAUUAUGGUGAUGGAUCUGUGGUUGCACAGAUCAACACAUGAUAAAAUUGCUAUGUGCACAUGCAGGCACAUGCACACACACACAAGUCAACACAUAAAAUUGCAUAGAACUAUGUGCACAUGCAUGCACACACACACAAACACACACAAGUCAACACAUAAUAAAAUUGCAUAGAGCUAUGUGAACAUGCACGCACAUGCACACACACACAUGUCAACACAUGAUAAAAUUGCAUAGAGCUAUGUGCACAUGCACGCACACACACGUCAACACAUAAAAUUGCAUAGAACUAUGUGUGCAUGCACACACACACGUCAACACAUAAAAUUGCAUAGAACUCUGUGCACGUGCAUGCACACACACAAACACACACACAAGUCAACACAUAAUAAAAUUGCAUAGAGCUAUGUGAACAUGCACGCACAUGCACACACACAUGUUAACACAUGAUAAAAUUGCAUAGAGCUCUGUGCACAUGCACACACACACGUCAACACAAAAUUGCAUAGAACUAUGUGCACACACAUACAUCAACACAUGAUAAAAUUGCAUAGAACUAUGUGCAUAUGCACACACACACACAAAGUCAACACGUGAUAAAAUUGCAUAGAACUAUGUGCACAUGCACGCACACACACACACACAAUUGUAUGUGAAAUGGGAGGAAUCUGAAUAAGAUCUGUGGUUUGUACAAAUGCUAAUUUUUGCCUUGAAUAUUGUGCUAUAAUUGCAUUACUAUUGAUGUUAUCAUUGGAGGAAUUGGGUCCAAGAAAAAUAGGACCAAGAAGGAAAAAUAAUAAAAUAAAAAUUAUUUGUAUUCCUUAAAAAAAGAAUUAAAGCUAAAUAUUGACAAAGAAAAUUUACUUCUUGCAAAUAAUUGGGGUUGAAGUGUUUGUAUGGGGAAAUUCAUAGGUUAUAAUAUGGCUGAGUUGGAAGGUAUAUGAUCAUGGAUGUCAAUUAUGGAGGAGAAAAUAUUGAUUUGGGAGUUUAUACUUCCACAGAAUAAAUGUGAAAACAAAAGUAGCAAAAAAAGGUGACAUUACAAAGGGAUUUUCUACUGUAGUUCAUGAAAGAUAAUACCAGAAAGUUGCUUGUGUAUUUAAACAUUUAGUAAACAUAUGAGAAUGUAUAAAAUAACUUUCUUUAAAAAAUGUACAUUAAUAAUCUGGGUCAGAAUUAUAAAAAUUAGAAUUAAGAAAAUUAACCUUUUAGAAAAAAGGGGAGUGGUGAAGUGGAAAGUGAAAUAUUGCAUCUUUUGCAAUGGCACUCUCUAAUUACUAAAAUUAGUUUCUCAGAAGUUGGGAGAUCUGGCAGAAAUCCAUAAAUAUAAACAACUUCUUGUCUGAAAAGAAAUAAAUGAAAACUGAGACAUUACAGAGGCUGAAGGAGGAGCCCUGAUUCUGUUCUCAGCUAUCCACAUGAUGGGACAUUUUAUAAAAGAAUUCAAAGGAAGUUUUCAAGGUGAGGGGUAGACUCAGAGGCUUUGAGUAAAAUAGAUAUUCUGAAUGGAGCAGAAAUACCUAGAGGACACAAAAAGAGGAGACAAACAAACCAAACAAAGACAAAGGUGAAGACAACGGAAUAGAAGAAAUUCAAGGACAGAUGAGACAAAUCUUCCAGUUUGAAGCAGAGAGUUGUGUGAGAGAGGUCAGCCCGCCCUCAGGAAGGGCAGGGGUGCAGCCAGGCAGGAGUUGAGGAAGAAGGGGAGGUACUUAAAGAGGAGGGUGACUUUGAAAGAGAAAUGGCUGAUCAUAGAAUUGUGUUGAGAUCCUGGGAAGCCAAGGGGAAAGGUGGAGAGAGAAAGGGAGGGAUGCGGGCUCAGUGAUGUGGUAGAGAACCGAGUGCUCACACAACAGUGAAGUAGCAAUCUGGCAGCAGCAGGCAUCACAAGGGAUGGAGAUAACCUGGAGAGAUGGAGAUAACCAGGUUAUUGAGGUUCAGGAUACGCAGGAGCUGCGUUCCCAGAAGGGUUUGAGGAUUGCCUGAGCUAAUCAUUGCCUGCUGCUGUUAAUGCUGCAUGGGAAAAGUACCAUAUGGCCAAUGGAGAAAAAACAAGGAAUAUAAAAAUUAUAUUGUUAGAGGGUGGAAGGAGAUCAGAAUUAGACAUUUUUUAUAAAGUUCUCUGAGAUGUUAAAUUAUUUAUUUUAAUAAGCUAUAAGGUGUAAAUGAGAAGAUACAUGUAAAAUACUUAGAACAAGGCUGGGCACGUAAGUGCUCAAUAAAUGGUACUGUUAUUUGAAAUGUCAUUAUUUUAUAAAAGUUUAUAAGGCUCUUUUUCUUCAAUAAAGUAUUUUCUUUUUCAAAAAUUAUUUUAUCUUUAUUUUUUAGCAGGGCUGCUUUCAUCCUUGCUAUGGAUGGCACAGCCUCCUCCAAUAAAAUAUUUUCUUACCUGUCUCUUUUCUCUCCUCUCAUGGUUUCUUAUAGAUUCAGUUUAAUUAGAUGUUUCCUUCUCCAUUGCAUAUUAUAACAGGAGAAAAAGCCCAGGAGAAUUGCAAAAAUCUCAUCAUUAGUGAGAGUAGACCUCCAUCAUCAUUUAUUGAAAUUUAUUUUUGAAGCAUGAUCUGCAACAAUAGGAACACUAGGAUGCAUUGUAAAGAAGAAUUUUAAGAACAUGAGCUGUGAUAUUAGAUAGAUUUGGGUCUGAAUCCUGGCUCUUCAUCUUACUAAGUCUACAUUCAAGAGGAGUUUGACUUUUGUAAGUGUAGUGUUCUUCUUUACAACACAGAUAUAAUAGUGUAAGUUACCAAGAAAAAGUGAUACAUACAUCAUAGGGUUGUUUUCAUAAUCAAGUGAGACCAACUGAUCUUGCUUUCACCAUCCUCCUCUCCAGUAAUGGCCUCUUCCAGACUGCCGCGGUCUCAGCCCCAGCUUGGACCAAUUGCAGUUUCCAGGACACCUGGCUAAAAUUAAUCAGUUUACGUGUGAACACUGGGUGUGGUCCAACCUGGGCCAAUCAUAGCCUUCAUAGUUUUUUGAAUAUUAAUUGAAAAAGUGUGUGGAGGAGAUCUUUUUAUAGUGAGAAAAAGCCAAUACAUGGAGAAAAAAGACAAGACUUUGGGGGAAGAGAGGAUCAAACAGAAAGUAAAUAUGAUUCAGAUCCCUUUUUAACUGUGAUGCCUUGAGCUCUACAGACCUCUGAUCUGUAGAUCUCUCACUUUUGUGAUUCUCAACUUAAUGGGUUCCACCCUGAUGCAAUUCAAAGCAAUGGCCUUAGAUGAAGAAGCACUAGCUCAGUUCAUAGCUUUGCCCCCUGGCUAUAUUUUUUUUACAGAGAAAGGACUGUGUUUAAUCAGGCUUCGCUAUAACUGUGAUCUUUACUUUUUCUAAGGUUUAGUCUCAAUAUCUAUGCUGGGCUACCAUUGGCUUGGGGUAGAGAAUUUGGUUUCUUGAAAUUUGAAAGGCUCAAAAUUAUUGGACUUUUGGGUAACUGAAAGGGCUUUUAUUAGCAAAGCUGUAUGUUCUUUACUGUUUUACACUGAUGUUAAACAUCUCUUUCUUAUAGUACCUCACUGAAAGCUGCAAGAAAUUGCCAAAACAUGCCAAGACCUGAAAAAUUCCCAUUUAAAAAAAAUACCUUAGUUUUGGUGACUACAUUUUAUAAGUCCCAAGGCAUACCAGGCAAACAUCUAGCCACAUAUUUUGCAUCUAUGUGACAAGGGUUAUAAACUAACCCUCUGGAAAGGCAGGGGUCCUUAGAUGCCUCCAUCUUUCUCCUCCAUCCUCCCUCCUUCAGUCAGCUGAUUCUACAUUUAAGAGCAGACUGAUGUUAACUUCCAAGUUCUAGAAAUGAAUAGCUAGGAGUUUGAAGUGGAAGUGUUGAAAAUCACUUCUGGCUUAUUUACACAGAGAAGCGUUGCAUUCAAGAGGAAUUGGGCAGCUGAAACAACUGUUUCGAGGAUUAGAGAGCUAUGCAAGGGAGUCUGGGAAAGUGAGUACAGUUGACCCUUGAACGACAUGUUUUGAACAACGUGAAUUUGAACUCCAUGGGUCCACUUAUACAUGGGUUUUCUUCAGCCUCUGCCACCCCCGAGACAGCAAGACCAACCUCUCCUCCUCGUCUUCCUUAGGCAUCUCAAUGUGAAGAUGAUGAGGAUGAAGACUUUUAUGAUGAUCCACUUCCACCUAAUGAACAGUAAAUAAAUUUUCUCUUUCUUAGGGUUUCCUUAAUAAUAUUUUCUUUUCUCUAGCUUACUUUAUUGUAAGAAUACUCUCUCUCUUUCUCUCUGUCUAUUACAUAUACUACAAAAUAUUCUCUCUCUAUAUAUAUACAUAUUACACAUACCAUAAAAUAUUAAUUGACUUUAUAUUAUUGGUAAGGCUUCUGGUUAACAGGAAGCUAUUUUGGGGGAGUCAAGUUAUAUGUGGAUUUUUGACUCUGUGUGAGGUAGUCAGUACCCCUAAACCCUAUGUUGUCUGAGGGUCAACUGUAUGUGGUAUUUUCAGGCUACAGCGGAGGCAGCUUUUGUGUUCUAUCGACUCUCCAUAAAAAGAAAAGUUUUCUGCGUGGCCGGGCGUGGUGGCUCACGCCUAUAAUCCCAGCACUUUGGGAGGCCGAGGUGGGUGGAUCACGGGGUCAAGAUAUUGAGACCAUCCUGGUCAAAAAGGUGAAACCCCGUCUCUAUUAAAAAUACAAAAAUUAGCUGGGCAUGGUGGUGUGCGCCUGUAGGUCCAGCUACUUGGGAGGCUGAGGCAGGAGAAUUGCUUGAACCCAGAAGGCGAAGGUUGGGUGAGCCGAGAUUGUGCCAUUGCACUCCAGUCUGGGUAACAACAGCGAAACUCCAACUAAAAAAAAAAGAAAAGUUUUCCCAAUAUAGAAUGUGUUUCAGAUGUUUGGUGGCCAAAAUAUGACAAACAUCCAAUACACAGGGUGAUUGUGCUGAUGAGGCACUUUCCUCUUCUUCCUUAUGUUCCUAUUUAUUCUUGCAACAACUUCUUGUAGUGAAGAAUCUGUGUGUGUCUUUCCCUUGUGACCCCAAGAAACCAGACCAGCUGGAUUUUACAGACGAGUAAAGCAUAUUAGAGGAAAAUAGGAGGGUGAAAUCAAUGAAGCAAGAUUCUGGGACUUCUCAUUGUAUAAGAACUUG